UGUGCCAACCGACCAAGGAGGCGAGUCCGCCCAAAGGAGUGAUUGGUAACUGGGGUG
RNAcentral lists this ribosomal RNA (57 nucleotides) under uncultured bacterium. Its description in RNAcentral is "partial 16S ribosomal RNA". The record is from RNAcentral.